CAGCAGCCGCGGUAAUACGGAGGGGGCUAGCGUUGUUCGGAAUUACUGGGCGUAAAGCGCACGUAGGCGGCUUUGUAAGUCAGAGGUGAAAGCCCGGAGCUCAACUCCGGAACUGCCUUUGAGACUGCAUCGCUUGAACACGGGAGAGGUGAGUGGAAUUCCGAGUGUAGAGGUGAAAUUCGUAGAUAUUCGGAAGAACACCAGUGGCGAAGGCGGCUCACUGGACCGUUGUUGACGCUGAGGUGCGAAAGCGUGGGGAGCAAACAGGAUUAGAUACCCCAGUAGUCCCUGUCUCUUAUAC
This 301-nucleotide ribosomal RNA is filed under the name uncultured bacterium. RNAcentral's name for it is "partial 16S ribosomal RNA". It matches the Rfam family "Bacterial small subunit ribosomal RNA", at positions 509 to 807 of the family's 1533-position model. The record is from RNAcentral.